AACGAACGCUGGCGGCAUGCCUAACACAUGCAAGUCGAACGAGACCUUCGGGUCUAGUGGCGCACGGGUGCGUAACGCGUGGGAACCUGCCCUUAGGUUCGGAAUAACUCCCCGAAAGGGGUGCUAAUACCGGAUAAUGUCUUCGGACCAAAGAUUUAUCGCCUUUGGAUGGGCCCGCGUUGGAUUAGCUAGUUGGUAGGGUAAAAGCCUACCAAGGCGACGAUCCAUAGCUGGUCUGAUAGGAUGAUCAGCCACACUGGGACUGAGACACGGCCCAGACUCCGACGGGAGGCAGCAGUGGGGAAUAUUGGACAAGGAGCGAAAGCCUGAUCAAGCAAUGCCGCGUGAGAGAGGAAGGCCUUAGGGUUGUAAAGCUCUUUUACCCGGGAUGAGAAUGACAGUAACGGGAGAAGAAGCUCCGGCUAACUCCGUG
Molecule: ribosomal RNA, 433 nt
Filed under: uncultured bacterium
Lineage: Bacteria
Description: partial 16S ribosomal RNA
Rfam family: Bacterial small subunit ribosomal RNA
Source: RNAcentral